UGAGCAAUCUGCCCUUCUCUUCGGAAUAAGCGUUGGAAACGACGUCUAAUGCCGAAUACGACCUCCUUUCGCAUGAUCGGAGGUGGAAAGCUCCGGCGGAGAAGGAUGAGCUCGCGGCCUAUCAGCUAGUUGGUGUGGUAAUGGCCCACCAAGGCGACGGACGGGUAGCCGGCCUGAGGAGGGUGACCGGCCACACGUGGGACUGAGACACGGCCCAGACCUCCGUACGGGAGCAGCAGGG
RNAcentral lists this ribosomal RNA (241 nucleotides) under uncultured bacterium. RNAcentral's name for it is "partial 16S ribosomal RNA". It matches the Rfam family "Bacterial small subunit ribosomal RNA", at positions 118 to 354 of the family's 1533-position model. The record is from RNAcentral.